This 424-nucleotide ribosomal RNA is filed under the name uncultured bacterium. RNAcentral describes it as "bacterial SSU rRNA". It matches the Rfam family "Bacterial small subunit ribosomal RNA", at positions 355 to 776 of the family's 1533-position model. The record is from RNAcentral.
UGAGGAAUAUUGGUCAAUGGCCGUAAGGCUGAACCAGCCAAGUAGCGUGAAGGAUGACCGCCCUAUGGGUCGUAAACUUCUUUUAUAAAGGAAUAAAGUCGCCUACGUGUAGGCGUUUGUAUGUACUUUAUGAAUAAGCAUCGGCUAACUCCGUGCCAGCAGCCGCGGUAAUACGGAGGAUGCGAGCGUUAUCCGGAUUUAUUGGGUUUAAAGGGAGCGCAGACGGGCUGUUAAGUCAGCUGUGAAAUGCCGCGGCUCAACCGUGGACCUGCAGUUGAUACUGGCGGCCUUGAGUGCGGUUGAGGCAGGCGGAAUUCGUGGUGUAGCGGUGAAAUGCUUAGAUAUCACGAAGAACCCCGAUUGCGAAGGCAGCCUGCCAAUCCGUUACUGACGUUCAUGCUCGAAGGUGCGGGUAUCAAACAGG